Molecule: small RNA, 97 nt
Filed under: Flavobacterium sp. 11
Lineage: Bacteria; Pseudomonadati; Bacteroidota; Flavobacteriia; Flavobacteriales; Flavobacteriaceae
Description: Flavo-1 RNA
Source: RNAcentral
ACUUAUCCAAAGUUCGCGUUAGGGAUAGCAGCGAAAAGCCCACAGUCUCGCCUUUUUUUGGCGGGACGAGGACUUGUAGCGAAUAGCCCGACUCCUU